UCGGGAAUUUUGGGCAAUGGGCGAAAGCCUGACCCAGCAACGCCGCGUGAGGGAUGAAGUAUUUCGGUAUGUAAACCUCGAAAGAAUGGGAAGAAUAAAUGACGGUACCAUUUAUAAGCUCCGGCUAACUACGUGCCAGCAGCCGCGGUAAUACGUAGGGAGCAAGCGUUGUUCGGAUUUACUGGGCGUAAAGGGCGCGUAGGCGGCGCGGUAAGUCACUUGUGAAAUCUCUGAGCUUAACUCAGAACGGCCAAGUGAUACUGCUGUGCUAGAGUGCGGAAGAAGCAACCGGAAUUCUUGGUGUAGCGGUGAAAUGCGUAGAUAUCAAGAGGAACACCUGAGGCGAAGGCGGGUUGCUGGGCCGACACUGACGCUGAUGCGCGAAAGCCAGGGGAGCAAACG
This 402-nucleotide ribosomal RNA is filed under the name uncultured bacterium. RNAcentral describes it as "bacterial SSU rRNA". It matches the Rfam family "Bacterial small subunit ribosomal RNA", at positions 355 to 774 of the family's 1533-position model. The record is from RNAcentral.